CAUUAAAUUAUCCUUCCAGUUUGUUGUUUGCUUUUAAAUAUAAUUUAUGCAAUAAAUUCCUUCUUAAAUCUAAAUCUAUCUUGUCCCUUAUGGAGUCUACUUUAGCAUGUACACAUAAAAGAACUUAGUAUCUUUAAUAACUUUUAUCAGAGUCCUUUAUUGUUCCUCAAUCAAUUCCUCGCUAUUUCAUUAUAUAACUUUUUAAAAGUCAUGAGUUAAGUCAUUUUUUUUUAAGAUUUUAUUUUUUUCCUUUUUCUCCCCAAAGCCCCCCGGUACAUAGUUGUAUAUUCUUCGUUGUGGGUCCUUCCAGUUGUGGGAUGUGGGACGCUGCCUCAGCGUGGUCUGAUGAGCAGUGCCAUGUCCGUGCCCAGGAUUCCAACCAACGAAACACUGGGCCGCCUGCAGCGGAGCAUGCGAACUUAACCACUCCGCCACAGGGCCAGCCCUAAAUCAUUUUUGAAAAUCGUGAGUUACAUUUAGGUUUUACACACCUAUUCAGUUCAGUCUAACAGAUUUUUUCCGCAUUCUUCCUACUUUCAGUCUAGCACAGUGUUAGGAGCUAGAGAUAAGAGAAAACUAAUCCAUGAGAGAGGGCUAAUCCAGGAGAGAAGAUAAUCCAGGAGAAAGGGCGAUCCAGGAGAGAGGGCGAUCCAGGAGAGAGGGCGAUCCAGGAGAGAGGGCGAUCCAGGAGAGAAGGUGAUCCAGGAGAGAGGGCGAUCCAGGAGAGAGGGCGAUCCAGGAGAGAGGGUGAUCCAGGAGAGAAGGUGAUCCAGGAGAGAGGAUGAUCCAGGAGAGAGGGUGAUCCAGGAGAGAGGGCGAUCCAGGAGAGAGGGUGAUCCAGGAGAGAAGGUGAUCCAGGAGAGAAGAUGAUCCAGGAGAAAGAGGGAUCCAGUGUCCUGUUCUUGAGGUGGG
This 912-nucleotide long non-coding RNA is filed under the name Equus caballus (horse). Its description in RNAcentral is "lncRNA (ENSECAG00000048826.1)". The record is from RNAcentral. Lineage: Eukaryota; Metazoa; Chordata; Mammalia; Perissodactyla; Equidae.